This is a long non-coding RNA of Hippopotamus amphibius kiboko, 180 nucleotides long. RefSeq lists it as uncharacterized. Lineage: Eukaryota; Metazoa; Chordata; Mammalia; Artiodactyla; Hippopotamidae. The record is from RefSeq and is a predicted model, not a curated record. The transcript is spliced from 3 exons.
GAGAAAUUGACUACAGAAAGAUGAGCACCAGGGACAUGUACCAAGAGCUUCUCACAGAAAAGACUGAGCUUAUAUGAUCUGACUUCCCAAAGGAGUCACAAUGUCAAGCAGGAUUUAAACUCAGCAAAGUUGAAAUGGAAGGACCAUUCCUUCAAAAAUGAGCAUCACACAUAUGAAAGG